ACACAACCAGGGAAACCCCACAGCAGGGCCAGCCACAGGAAUGAAAAUCACACCCCGUGUAGGUGACAUGGCAGGAUGAAGGCUGCUGUCACGGGGAGCUAAGAAGAACAAAUUCAGAGACAAACCUGUGUUCCCACCUAUGACAAGGGACAAGGCGCGAUGUCAAUCAGUGUCCUCAUCAAAGAUGAAGUGGGCUCUGCUGGCCUCUGGGAGCCAGUGUGAGGGAGCUGACACUCAGGUCACCAGAGCGGCCCCACCUCCUCAGGCCUUUGCUCCCUACAGGAUUGUGGAGCCUCAGAGGCCCGCGGAAACCCUGCCAUUCAGGGACAGGGCAGCUGUGGCCUUUGGUCCCCCUGCUGUCUCCUCCCAGGGGCAACAUGCACUCCCUUCUUCCCAUCCUGACUUGUGACAUCACGGGUAGGGACAGACCCGGGCAGCAGGGACAGCCGGCAGCACCUACCUGAUAACACAGUGGCCUUGGUUGGAGGCAAAAACCACGAUGGGGGCGAUGGAAGAUUCCAGAGCUCGGUGCAGGGAGGUGAAGCCCUCGAUGGCCAGC
This 559-nucleotide long non-coding RNA is filed under the name Marmota monax (woodchuck). Lineage: Eukaryota; Metazoa; Chordata; Mammalia; Rodentia; Sciuridae. The record is from RNAcentral.